RNAcentral lists this non-coding RNA (28 nucleotides) under Homo sapiens (human). The record is from RNAcentral. Lineage: Eukaryota; Metazoa; Chordata; Mammalia; Primates; Hominidae.
GGCACAGAAUUGUCCACGAGCGAUGUUG